RNAcentral lists this signal recognition particle RNA (89 nucleotides) under pig gut metagenome. RNAcentral describes it as "Bacterial small signal recognition particle RNA". It matches the Rfam family "Bacterial small signal recognition particle RNA". From Rfam's summary of the family: The signal recognition particle (SRP) is a universally conserved ribonucleoprotein involved in the co-translational targeting of proteins to membranes. Archaeal SRP consists of a 7S RNA and homologues of the eukaryotic SRP19 and SRP54 proteins. In most bacteria, the SRP consists of a 4.5S RNA and the Ffh protein (a homologue of the eukaryotic SRP54 protein). The record is from RNAcentral.
GGUCUUGCGCAAGGGGGCCCCAUGAACCACGUCAGGACAGGAAUGUAGCAGCGUUAAGUGGAUCGUCAACUGUGCCGCGAGGGUGCCUG